GGGGAUAUAGCUCAGUAGUAGAGCACUUGCCUAGCAUGUUUGAGAGCCUGGGUUCAAUUCCCAGUGCCA
Molecule: transfer RNA, 69 nt
Filed under: Marmota monax (woodchuck)
Lineage: Eukaryota; Metazoa; Chordata; Mammalia; Rodentia; Sciuridae
Also listed under: 2 other names
Rfam family: tRNA
About the family: Transfer RNA (tRNA) molecules are approximately 80 nucleotides in length. Their secondary structure includes four short double-helical elements and three loops (D, anti-codon, and T loops). Further hydrogen bonds mediate the characteristic L-shaped molecular structure. tRNAs have two regions of fundamental functional importance: the anti-codon, which is responsible for specific mRNA codon recognition, and the 3' end, to which the tRNAs corresponding amino acid is attached (by aminoacyl-tRNA synthetases). tRNAs cope with the degeneracy of the genetic code in two manners: having more than one tRNA (with a specific anti-codon) for a particular amino acid; and 'wobble' base-pairing, i.e. permitting non-standard base-pairing at the 3rd anti-codon position.
Source: Rfam by way of RNAcentral